This is a long non-coding RNA of Neodiprion fabricii, 573 nucleotides long. RefSeq lists it as uncharacterized. NCBI's taxonomy places the organism in Eukaryota, Metazoa, Arthropoda, Insecta, Hymenoptera, Diprionidae. The record is from RefSeq and is a predicted model, not a curated record. The transcript has 3 exons.
GCUGGGAAAUUCACCUGUCGGUAUCUGCCGUGGUUUUGUUACCGGGGAGGCUGAACGUGGCUCGAGAAAAAUCUGACGAUCGGCCGGCCAGCCGCGGCGAGCUUCACUCAUCACCGAACGCCGGAGGAGAAUCGAGAGGCGUUGCAUCGCUCCGAGAAAUUUGAUGGAAUAACAUCGAACAUAUCACAGCCCCGUGUAGUGGCGCUGCCCUUGAUCGUGUGUCUAACGGAAAUGCUCGCGUCUGUCGGACAAACGGAGUGUUUCUUCACUUUCGGCAGUCGCAACGUUCCGAAAAAUACUUCGGACUGAUCAAUCGCGUUUCGUACGUCGUAGAGGAUUGUCGAAGGUGCGAGAAUAAUCGCCGGUAAUUAUCUUCUGUGAUUCGGGGCUGCGGAUGGUGAAUGUCAGCGACAACACAAAAUGGCCGACUGCAGCUGCGGCGUACUUCACUCACAACAAGACGCCAAACCGAAGAGAACGCGACACGACGCAAUAACGUGAACAAGGGGACACGUUCAGCGAUUAAUUGUGGCACCAGUUCCGAGAUUCCGAGCUUCGAAACGCCACAGAAAC